GAAAAAAACACAUCCGGGGAAACGGUCCAUUCCGGCGUUACAGCUAGCUAUCAGUAGCUUCGUGAUAAUAUAGCGCUAACAGAUAAAGCCCUAGUGAGGGAACAACUGAAAAAUAAAGAGAACAGAGAGAAGACGAGAGAAGGAGACAGUAACGUGUGUUUUUGCGUCUAUUCUUUCGUCUCGUUGCGUAAAAUCUUACGGAAUUAUUCGCUGGUCGAGCCUCGAAGGCUUACGACCGCGUGCUUUCUUCAGACGGUGUUGAAGCUGUCGAUUCAUUUUCUCGAACAGCGGCUCUGACGUUAUCGUUUCCAUAGUAACGGCUCCUUCGCAGGCGCUGUACGGCAUGUCUGUAUCGCUCCGCGGGUAAUAUACGUCUUCUUAAAGCGGUGAGACGUCUAUUUCGAUAACGUUAAGGUUUACGGAAGGAGUCUCCGGUAUCGGAGGUAAAGACGAGGUAAAGAGGUAAAAGGAGUUUGCGCUCAUAUGCAAGCUGCGUUUAAUUUUUUAGAGAAAAAAGGGCGUAGUGUGAGAGGGGUAAAAGGAGUUUGCGCUCAUAUGCAAGCUGCGUUUAAUUUUUUAGAGAAAAAAGGGCGUAGUGUGAGAGGGGUAAAACACUUGGGGACUGCGGAGUGCUGAGAGGAGCUCAGUCACAGGGUUUGUGGUUCAGGACGGAAGGUUCGGUGCAGAGCUGCAGGACGGAGACGUGGAAACAUUAUUUAUUUAUUUAUUUAUUUAUUUAUUUAUUUAUUUAUUUAUUUAUUAGCGACCUUAGCGAAUGAAAUAAAUUUUCCAGACUGAACGCUCUGCUCUUUCUGAACUAAUUCUGGUUUUUUUUUCCUCCCGUUAUACUGCUCUAUAAUCUGGUCAAGUUUCUCUCCGACUGCAAAUUUAAUUCUAAUUAAAUAAUGAAGCGUUAAUUAGCAGCAAUAAAACUAAACCCACCCGAUGAUGAUGAUUAAGUCCUGAUCUGCAGAUCUGCGUGGUCGUCGUCUCGCGCUCUGUUCAAACGUAUAAAACUUUAUUACACCCCGCAGGAGGAAGUGACACACUGGCAGGGUUGGGGUUUUUUUUGUGUCCCCCCCGAGUUAUGGCCCCCUGGUGACAUUUUAAACGUUAUAGAACAGGACUUUAAAACUGUGAGAGCGGUUUAUAAAACUCCGAGUUAUUUAUCGCUUCCUCCAGCAGGCGAGCUUCACGUCCGCUGCAGGGUUUCUCACACCGAGUUCUGUUUAUUCCUAUUUUUAUUUUAAAGUUUUAUUUAGAAAUGUUAAAACGUCCUGCUUUUUAUUACAAAGACAGUGUUGCCAUGGCAACCGAGGCCAUUACCGGGUCAAUGACGGCCUGUUAUCGAGCGGCUCAGCUGACGUGAUAACAAGCCUUUUUUUUUUUUUUUUUUAACUUUUUCAUUUUGUACCUUUAUUCGGCUACAUUCAAGAGGAAGCUCACUUUCGCAUAAAAUUUACAUAUUUACAUAUAUUAGGAAUAUGCUAUAUGACAAAAAAAUCACAAAAGGUUGGCCAAGAAGCGUCUUGCAAAACUGCGUUUAAAGUGUUGUGUUUAAAGAAAAAUGUAAACAUAUCUAUAAGUUUAUAUAAAAAUAAACAAUUAAAUAAAUAAUUUAACAAUGAGGAUUUUUUAAUGUUUUAUUUAUUUAGUUAUUUAUUUAUUUAUUUAUUUAUUUAUUUUUACCAUCUUUAAAGUUUACUACAAAAAAGUUAUUGGUUAUAAAUUUACUACAAAACUGUUUCUGAUCAGUUUGUAAAUAUUUUUGUAAAAAACAAUUUAAAUUUAAAACAUAUAUAUUGCAAUACCUGCGAUAUCUCAGUAUUAUUAUUGUAAAAUAAAAAAGUGUGAAUUUUCUUCAGGGAUUAAUAAAGUCAUCUAUCUAUCUAUCUAUCUAUUGAUCUGCCUAACCUCAAACAGGAAGUAAGUAACGUGGCAAGUUGAACCAAUCACAUCGCAGCGUGAGAGCAGAGAGCUGACACACCUGAUGUGGAACACACCACAGAUCUGUUAAAGAGAACCCCAAACCAACCGUUUUCAACAGAACCCAAUGUAGAACCAGAACCCAAACUAGAACCAGAACUAGAACCAGAACUAGAACCAGAACCAGGGUUUGGACUCCUACCUGUAGCGAGACUCAGAGUUAUAUAAUACGAACACAGAGCUCACUCUGUGUUCAUCAGAAUCUCAUUAUAAUCUCAUUAAUAUUCAAAUGAGCGUGAAUACGAAUACAUUUAAAUAAUUAUUCAUGUAGAAUUAGUAAAGGAAUGCAAAGAAGCGGGUCUGGAGCGGAACACUCAAACACAGCGCCGUCUCACCGUGGGGUGUCACGGUGUGUGUGUGUGUGUGUGCGUGUGUGUGUGUGUG
This is a long non-coding RNA of Ictalurus punctatus (channel catfish), 2370 nucleotides long. The record is from Ensembl. Lineage: Eukaryota; Metazoa; Chordata; Actinopteri; Siluriformes; Ictaluridae.